This 382-nucleotide RNase P RNA is filed under the name Arthrobacter caoxuetaonis. RNAcentral describes it as "Arthrobacter sp. zg-Y453 RNase P RNA component class A". It matches the Rfam family "Bacterial RNase P class A". From Rfam's summary of the family: Ribonuclease P (RNase P) is a ubiquitous endoribonuclease, found in archaea, bacteria and eukarya as well as chloroplasts and mitochondria. Its best characterised activity is the generation of mature 5'-ends of tRNAs by cleaving the 5'-leader elements of precursor-tRNAs. The record is from RNAcentral. Lineage: Bacteria; Bacillati; Actinomycetota; Actinomycetes; Micrococcales; Micrococcaceae.
CGGGUUGGCCAGGCAAUCGCGUCAGGACGGCUUCGGCCGGACCUGCCGAGGAAAGUCCGGGCUCCGCAGGGCAGGGUGGUGGGUAACGCCCACUCGGGGAAACCCGCAGGCCAGUGCCACAGAGAAGAGACCGCCCGCGUUCAUGCGCAGGUAAGGGUGAAACGGUGGUGUAAGAGACCACCAGUGUCCCGGGUGACCGGGACAGCUAGGUAAACCCCACCCGGAGCAAGGCCAGACAGGAUGUGUUUGAGGGCUGCCCGCCCGAGCAUCCGGGUAGGCCGCUGGAGGGUAUCGGCAACGGUACUCGUAGAUGGAUGAUUGCCGCCCGUCCGCUGGUAACGGCGGACAGGUACAAAACCCGGCUUAUCGGCCAGCCCGUCCC